GGGCUUGCGUCCGAUUAGCUAGUUGGUGGGGUAAUGGCCUACCAAGGCAAGGAUCGGUAGCUGGUCUGAGAGGACGUCCAGCCACACUGGGACUGAGACACGGCCCAGACUCCUACGGGAGGCAGCAGCAAGGAAUAGUAGGCAAUGGGCGAAAGCCUGACCUCGCGACGCCGCGUGGAGGAUGAAGGUCUUCGGGUUGUAAACUCCUUUUCUCAGGGAUGUGACAGUACCUGAGGAAUAAGUCACGGCUAACUACGUGCCAGCAGCCGCGGUAAAACGUAGGUGGCGAACGUUAUCCGGAUUUACUGGGCGUAAAGCGUGCGCAGGCGGCUUUUCAAGUCGGAUGUAAAAUCUCUUGGCUCAACUGGGAGCGACCGUCCGAUACUGCUAAGCUGGAGUGCAACAGAGGAGAGUGGAAUUCCCAGUGUAAUGGUGGAAUGUGUAGAU
This 447-nucleotide ribosomal RNA is filed under the name uncultured bacterium. RNAcentral's name for it is "bacterial SSU rRNA". It matches the Rfam family "Bacterial small subunit ribosomal RNA", at positions 227 to 695 of the family's 1533-position model. The record is from RNAcentral.